UCUCUCUCAAACAAGUGGGAGUUUGUCAGCUUGUUUUUCUCAUGAAAAAAUUUAGUGUCUCUUAUGGUUGUGUUUAGAAUAUGGGUCAUGUGUUCAAAAGGCUGACGUGCCUCAAAAUUUGAAAAAUGAUUCACUACAACUGUGAUGAGGUUAAUUAGCAAUGUUAUUGUAUGCCAGUACAUUCUUGCAUCUUUGCUAAGCGAUUGUGUUUGAAUUAGCCCAAUAUUGUCAGACUAUAAUUUAAACAUUAUUCAAGAAAAAUAAAAAUAAAUUAAAUUGCUGUCAGUGAAGCAGGCUAGAAACAAGAAGAUAGAACAAAAAAAAACUGUAUAUCUGUAAGAACCUUCCAGUUAAAUAUACUCUCUGAUAGUGGAAAGAAUCUGAGACAAUUAAGUUUCUAUCACAUUAAAGGGGUGUUUGAAAUAACGUUUAACACUUCAAAUGUAAAUGGAAACUUUUCUUAUUACAUCGUGUAAAGCGUGUAUUUGUGAGUAUUUAUGUAAAUACACGAGUGUGUUUGAAUAUUAAGUAUGUAUUUCUGUGCAUGUUGCAUUUAGAGUGUUGUGUGUAUGUUGAUCUUUUGGUGUAAGCAGUGCCUCUCCCUAUGUUGGCUGCAGUGGAUGGUUUUUCCAGAGCUCCAUUCAACAUUGAUGACUGAAGCUCAGUUUCAGAGUACCACAGACCCUCUGAAGUGUUAAAAGAUUUAAUGCUAUGAUAGGCAGCCUGUAGGCCAACCGUCCUGAUUGUGGUCACGUUCCCGCUUUCUGUAAUGGUUGACUGGAAGGAAUGGACCACAUAGAGAGCUAGUCAUGAAGACCCGAACCAACAAAGAAUCGAUGCCCGCUCGCAGUGGACGCAGGAGGGGGGGCAGUGAGGAAAGGAGGGGUAGACGUCCGCACCCCAGCCCGUCCCGAGCAGAGCGCAACGAAAGGCAAACGG
This 939-nucleotide long non-coding RNA is filed under the name Sinocyclocheilus grahami. Its description in RNAcentral is "lncRNA (ENSSGRG00000014224.1)". Lineage: Eukaryota; Metazoa; Chordata; Actinopteri; Cypriniformes; Cyprinidae. The record is from RNAcentral.